GACGAACGCUGGCGGCGUGCCUAAUACAUGCAAGUCGAGCGGACUGAUUAAGAGCUUGCUCUUAUGACGUUAGCGGCGGACGGGUGAGUAACACGUGGGCAACCUGCCCUGUAGAUCGGGAUAACACCGAGAAAUCGGUGCCAAUACCGGGUAAUAUCUGAGAUCACAUGAUCUUAGGUUAAAAGAUGGCUCCGGCUAUCACUACAGGAUGGGCCCGCGGCGCAUUAGCUAGUUGGUAAGGUAAUGGCUUACCAAGGCGACGAUGCGUAGCCGACCUGAGAGGGUGAUCGGCCACACUGGGACUGAGACACGGCCCAGACUCCUACGGGAGGCAGCAGUAGGGAAUCUUCCGCAAUGGACGAAAGUCUGACGGAGCAACGCCGCGUGAGUGAUGAAGGGUUUCGGCUCGUAAAGCUCUGUUGUUAGGGAAGAAACAGUACCGAACGAACUAGGUCGGUACCUUGACGGUACCUAACCAGAAAGCCACGGCUAACUACGUG
RNAcentral lists this ribosomal RNA (500 nucleotides) under uncultured bacterium. RNAcentral's name for it is "partial 16S ribosomal RNA". It matches the Rfam family "Bacterial small subunit ribosomal RNA", at positions 28 to 507 of the family's 1533-position model. The record is from RNAcentral.